GACGAACGCUGGCGGCGUGCCUAAUACAUGCAAGUCGAACGCAGUUGGGACGGGUGAGUAACCCGUGGGUAACCUCCCAUCAGAGGGGAUAACACUUGGAAACAGGUGCUCAACCGAUACUGCUGGCUCGUCCCGCGUUGCUUUAGCUAGUUGGUGGGGUAACGGCUCACCAAGGCCACGAUGCAUAGCCUAGCUGAGAGGUUGAUGGGCCACACUGGGACUGAGACCCGGCCCAGACUCCUACGGGAGGCAGAAGUAGGGAAUCUUCGGCAAUGGACGAAAGUCUGACCGAGCAACGCCGCGUGAGUGAAGAAGGUUUUCGGAUCGUAAAACUCUGUUGUUAGAGAAGCGGGAGGGAAACAGAAAGCAACGGCUAACUACGUGCCAGCAGCCGCGGUAAUAG
RNAcentral lists this ribosomal RNA (403 nucleotides) under uncultured bacterium. Its description in RNAcentral is "partial 16S ribosomal RNA". It matches the Rfam family "Bacterial small subunit ribosomal RNA", at positions 28 to 526 of the family's 1533-position model. The record is from RNAcentral.